Molecule: ribosomal RNA, 966 nt
Filed under: Acinetobacter calcoaceticus
Lineage: Bacteria; Pseudomonadati; Pseudomonadota; Gammaproteobacteria; Moraxellales; Moraxellaceae
Description: bacterial SSU rRNA
Rfam family: Bacterial small subunit ribosomal RNA
Source: RNAcentral
UGCAGUCGAGCGGAGUGAUGGUGCUUGCACUAUCACUUACGGCGGACGGGUGAGUAAUGCUUAGGAAUCUGCCUAUUAGUGGGGGACAACAUUUCGAAAGGAAUGCUAAUACCGCAUACGUCCUACGGGAGAAAGCAGGGGAUCUUCGGACCUUGCGCUAAUAGAUGAGCCUAAGUCGGAUUAGCUAGUUGGUGGGGUAAAGGCCUACCAAGGCGACGAUCUGUAGCGGGUCUGAGAGGAUGAUCCGCCACACUGGGACUGAGACACGGCCCAGACUCCUACGGGAGGCAGCAGUGGGGAAUAUUGGACAGUGGGCGCAAGCCUGAUCCAGCCGUGCCGCGUGUGUGAAGAAGGCCUUAUGGUUGUAAAGCACUUUAAGCGAGGAGGAGGCUACUGAAGUUAAUACCUUCAGAUAGUGGACGUUACUCGCAGAAUAAGCACCGGCUAACUCUGUGCCAGCAGCCGCGGUAAUACAGAGGGUGCAAGCGUUAAUCGGAUUUACUGGGCGUAAAGCGCGCGUAGGCGGCUAAUUAAGUCAAAUGUGAAAUCCCCGAGCUUAACUUGGGAAUUGCAUUCGAUACUGGUUAGCUAGAGUGUGGGAGAGGAUGGUAGAAUUCCAGGUGUAGCGGUGAAAUGCGUAGAGAUCUGGAGGAAUACCGAUGGCGAAGGCAGCCAUCUGGCCUAACACUGACGCUGAGGUGCGAAACAUGGGGAGCAACAGGAUUAGAUACCCUGGUAGUCCAUGCCGUAAACGAUGUCUACUAGCCGUUGGGCCCUUUGAGGCUUUAGUGGCGCAGCUAACGCGAUAAGUAGACCGCCUGGGGAGUACGGUCGCAAGACUAAAACUCAGAUGAAUUGACGGGGGCCGCACAAGCGGUGGAGCUGGGGUUUAUUCGAUGCACGCGAAAACCUUACCUGGCUUGACAUAGAAGAACUUUCCAAAAAGGGAUGGUGCCUUCGGAACUA